CUGAACCAUUUGAAGCCCUUGUGUUUGGGUCAGACGGCCUGGUAGGGGCUAUGUUCUGGGAGAGUCUGCGCCUGGCAUGUGGAGGCCUGUAUGCUGAAGGCCUGCAGCAGAAAGCAAUUGCAAUUUUAUUGGCAAAAUGUAUGAGCACCUCUCAAAAUUAGCACACAUUAGUAUAUAAUAUGGGCACAUGUGAUGCCUGCACUCAGAGCAUAGCACAAUAUCAGGGACGCCCCAAUAAACUUGACACAGAAAUUUCAGCAUGCGCCUCACCGAGAUGGAGAUGGGCGGUCUGGUGACUCUGCUGCAGAAGAGAUGGUGGAAGACUGCGCCACACUGGCAAGAGGCCAGGUCCCAUAUGCGCACAGUUUCCUCAGGCUGUCCAACAGAAUGCUGAGGCUCAUUUCCUGCACACUUUUU
This 417-nucleotide long non-coding RNA is filed under the name Coccomyxa subellipsoidea. Its description in RNAcentral is "long non-coding RNA (CSUB_LNC000670)". Lineage: Eukaryota; Viridiplantae; Chlorophyta; Trebouxiophyceae; Coccomyxaceae. The record is from RNAcentral.